AGUCGAACGGACAAUUGUUUAUAUCUUUGGUAUAAAUAAUUGUUAGUGGCAGACGGGUGAGUAAUGCGUAGGAAUCUACCUAGUAGUAUGGAAUAGCCAUUAGAAAUGAUGGGUAAUACUGUAUAAUCCCUGCGGGGGAAAGAUUUAUCGCUAUUAGAUGAGCCUACGUUAGAUUAGCUAGUUGGUAAGGUAAUGGCUUACCAAGGCUAUGAUCUAUAGCUGGUCUGAGAGGACGAUCAGCCACACUGGAACUGAGAUACGGUCCAGACUCCUACGGGAGGCAGCAGUGGGGAAUAUUGGACAAUGGGCGAAAGCCUGAUCCAGCUAUGCCGCGUGAGUGAAGAAGGCCUUCGGGUUGUAAAGCUCUUUCAAUAGGGAAGAUAAUGACGGUACCUAUAGAAGAAGUCCCGGCAAACUC
This 418-nucleotide ribosomal RNA is filed under the name Ehrlichia sp. Firat_2. RNAcentral's name for it is "bacterial SSU rRNA". It matches the Rfam family "Bacterial small subunit ribosomal RNA", at positions 60 to 503 of the family's 1533-position model. The record is from RNAcentral. Lineage: Bacteria; Pseudomonadati; Pseudomonadota; Alphaproteobacteria; Rickettsiales; Anaplasmataceae.